GAUGAACGCUAGCGGGAGGCUUAAUACAUGCAAGUCGAGCGGCAAGUUUUGAUAGCAAUAUUGGAACCUAGAGCGGCGCACGGGUGAGUAACGCGUACAUGACCUGCCCUAUACUGGGGGAUAGUCUUGGGAAACUGAGAAUAAUCCCGCAUGUGAUUAGAAUGCUGCAUGGCAAAUUAAUUAAAGCUGAGGCGGUAUAGGAUGGGUGUGCGUCUGAUUAGCUAGUUGGUAGUGUAACGGACUACCAAGGCGAUGAUCAGUAGGGGGCGUGAGAGCGUGACCCCCCACACGGGUACUGAGACACGGACCCGACUCCUACGGGAGGCAGCAGUAAGGAAUAUUGGUCAAUGGAGGGAACUCUGAACCAGCCAUCCCGCGUGAAGGAUGAAGGGGCUCUGCCUUGUAAACUUCUUUUGUAUGGGGCGAAAAAAGGGGAGUUUAUCCUCGACUGACGGUACC
This 459-nucleotide ribosomal RNA is filed under the name uncultured bacterium. RNAcentral's name for it is "bacterial SSU rRNA". It matches the Rfam family "Bacterial small subunit ribosomal RNA", at positions 28 to 479 of the family's 1533-position model. The record is from RNAcentral.